UACGGAGGGGGCUAGCGUUGUUCGGAAUGACUGGGCGUAAAGGGCGUUUAGGCUGUUGAUCAAGUCAAGCGUGAAAGCCUCGGGCUUAACCCGAGAACUGCGUUUGAUACUGGUUGACUUGAGGACGAGAGAGGAAAGUGGAAUUCCGAGUGUAGAGGUGAAAUUCGUAGAUAUUCGGAGGAACAUCAGAGGCGAAGGCGGCUUUCGGGCUCGUAUAUGACGUUGAGGCGCGAAAGCGUGGGGAGCAAACAGG
RNAcentral lists this ribosomal RNA (253 nucleotides) under uncultured bacterium. Its description in RNAcentral is "partial 16S ribosomal RNA". It matches the Rfam family "Bacterial small subunit ribosomal RNA", at positions 524 to 776 of the family's 1533-position model. The record is from RNAcentral.